This is a transfer RNA of Vittaforma corneae ATCC 50505, 74 nucleotides long. It matches the Rfam family "tRNA". From Rfam's summary of the family: Transfer RNA (tRNA) molecules are approximately 80 nucleotides in length. Their secondary structure includes four short double-helical elements and three loops (D, anti-codon, and T loops). Further hydrogen bonds mediate the characteristic L-shaped molecular structure. tRNAs have two regions of fundamental functional importance: the anti-codon, which is responsible for specific mRNA codon recognition, and the 3' end, to which the tRNAs corresponding amino acid is attached (by aminoacyl-tRNA synthetases). tRNAs cope with the degeneracy of the genetic code in two manners: having more than one tRNA (with a specific anti-codon) for a particular amino acid; and 'wobble' base-pairing, i.e. permitting non-standard base-pairing at the 3rd anti-codon position. NCBI's taxonomy places the organism in Eukaryota, Fungi, Microsporidia, Nosematidae. The record is from Rfam.
GCGCGCUUAGUGUAGUGGCUUAUCACGUCUGCUUUACACGCAGGAGGGGGCCAGUUCGAUCCUGGCAGUGCGCA